GAUGAACGCUGGCGGCGUGCCUAAUACAUGCAAGUCGAGCGAAGCGGGGACGGGUGAGUAACACGUGGAUAACCUCCUAUAAGACUGGGAUAAAUUCGGGAAAACGGAGCUAAAACGGAUAAUUAUAGAUGAAUCCGCGCUGCAGUAGCUAGUUGGUAAGGUAACGGCUUACCAAGGCAACGAUGCAUAGGCGAUCUGGGAGGGUGAUCGGCCACACUGGAACUGAGACACGGUCCAGACUCCUACGGGAGGCAGCAGUAGGGAAGCUUCCGCAAUGGGCGAAAGCCUGACGGAGCAACGCCGCGUGAGUGAAGAAGGUCUUCGGAUCGUAAAACUCUGUUAUUAGGGAAGCGGUACCUAAUCAGAAAGCCCCGGCUAACUCCGUGCCAGCAGCCGCGGUAAUAC
RNAcentral lists this ribosomal RNA (405 nucleotides) under uncultured bacterium. RNAcentral's name for it is "partial 16S ribosomal RNA". It matches the Rfam family "Bacterial small subunit ribosomal RNA", at positions 28 to 526 of the family's 1533-position model. The record is from RNAcentral.